Molecule: long non-coding RNA, 1454 nt
Filed under: Marmota monax (woodchuck)
Lineage: Eukaryota; Metazoa; Chordata; Mammalia; Rodentia; Sciuridae
Source: RNAcentral
ACCUAAAUCUCAAAUGUGCCAGUAGUUAUCUCACUGCUGAAUUUCAAGCUGUGGAGACAUGCUGGUGGUGUGCUGGACAGCUGUGCCAUCUAGAUGAAUGACUUUGGAACAAGAUUCUGAUAGUAAGGAGACAAAAAUCAUUGAGUAUGAUAGACUUCCAAAAACCUUGGUAUCUUAGACAAGAGGUUAGAAAAACUACUGCCCAUAGACCAAAGCCAGCUAGCUGCCUAUUUUUGCAAAUAAAAGUUUUACUGGACUGAAGCCACACUCAUUUAUCUGUUGCCUGUAGCUAUUCUAGUGUGCAAUGACAGGUCAUUGCAAGGGAGUCUGCCUCACAGUACCUCAAAUACUUAUUACCUGUUUCUUCACAGAAAAGUAUGCUGACCUCUGGUGUAGACUAAAGAGCAGACUAGAUGUAAGUAGCUGGUAUCAUAUGUGAUUAUUUUCAUGACUAGAGAAUUUUUAAAUGGUUUAUAUAAGAUCAUGCUACCUAAGAAACAAAGGGAGGAGAUCUGGGAAGGGAGCCUCCGUUCCCCUAGGAAUGAUCCUAGAACUCCCUUUGAAACUGCUGGAUUCUCUCAGCAUUUGGACAGUACCCCACAGUAGCUCUCAACUGACUGACCAUGAGCUGCUUAUUGUGUGGAUGACAGUUCCAAGGUAAAUGGACAACAACUUAUUUGAGAGAAUGCCACCUGAUUAAAGAAGCCAAAAAUAACCUGGCAGACUGAAUAAAAUGCUGAAAAAUUGAAGACCCAUUUGGGGGUCUUCACCGACUUACAAGCAGUGGCCAAUGACCUGGCCACAUGGUCAUGUAGAAAGCAAUGAGAACCUGGCCUAUUAAAGAAAUGCCCAUGUGAGCCACAGCCCUAUAGAAAUUUGAGGGGUACAUUUAAGAUGUCCACCAAAAGAACUUGCCAAAGAAUUGUCAAGCAGAUAUCCAUGUGUUGUCACUUUAAGUUGGCUCCUGGGUUCAUUUAAUCAGAAGACAUGGUGGGAGAUGCAGCAGUGAAAGUGGACUGAAUCUAGACAUGUUCCUCUCACACCCUUUGAAACACAAAAUUGCAACAAGAACCAGCAAAAGGGAUGAAAGACAUGAUGGCUAUGUGCAGCUUCCUUGGUGGGAAGGCCUUCAUCAGAGCUGGCAAGUGAGACUGAUGUUGUUAGCCCCAGGGGGGUCCUGACAGGAAUAGAUACCAAUUCCAGACUGGGCUGUUUAGCCAGUGAAGGAUACAAACAUUAAGAAGACUCAGCGCAGAAGACACUGCCUGAGUUUAGACAACCAAUCAUCAUUGCUUCAAACCAAAGAACACACUCUAUAGCUCAUAACAUUCAACGCUGGGCAGAGAGACAUCCUCAGAGUAACAGUUUUAGGAGUAGAUCACCUAAAGUGGAGAGAGAACAGCAUGGAGGAUUGGCUUCCACCUUCUCACACACUUGGCCUGAGAGGUACUAGA